RNAcentral lists this ribosomal RNA (485 nucleotides) under uncultured Glomeromycotina. RNAcentral's name for it is "SSU rRNA". It matches the Rfam family "Eukaryotic small subunit ribosomal RNA", at positions 591 to 1078 of the family's 1831-position model. The record is from RNAcentral. Lineage: Eukaryota; Fungi; Glomeromycota.
CCAAUAGCGUAUAUUAAAGUUGUUGCAGUUAAAAAGCUCGUAGUUGAAUUUCGGGGUUAGUAAGUUGGUCAUGCCUUUGGUAUGUACUGGCUUUACUGAUUCCUCCUUCUUGACGAACUGUAAUGUCAUUAAUUUGGUGUUGCAAGGAAUCAGGACUGUUACUUUGAAAAAAUUAGAGUGUUUAAAGCAGGCUUAAGCUUGAAUACAUUAGCAUGGAAUAAUGAAAUAGGACGUUAAUCCUAUUUUGUUGGUUUCUAGGAUCGACGUAAUGAUUAAUAGGGAUGGUUGGGGGCAUUAGUAUUCAAUUGUCAGAGGUGAAAUUCUUGGAUUUAUUGAAGACUAACUACUGCGAAAGCAUUUGCCAAGGAUGUUUUCAUUAAUCAAGAACGAAAGUUAGGGGAUCGAAGACGAUCAGAUACCGUCGUAGUCUUAACCAUAAACUAUGCCGACUAGGGAUCGGAUGAUGUUAAUUUUUUAAUGACUCA